This 345-nucleotide unclassified non-coding RNA is filed under the name soil metagenome. RNAcentral's name for it is "partial contains 5.8S ribosomal RNA, internal transcribed spacer 2, and large subunit ribosomal RNA". The stretch from base 1 to 120 matches the Rfam family "5.8S ribosomal RNA", at positions 35 to 154 of the family's 154-position model. The record is from RNAcentral.
GAUGAAGAACGUAGCGAAAUGCGAUAAGUAGUGUGAAUUGCAGAAUUCAGUGAAUCAUCGAAUCUUUGAACGCACAUUGCGCCCCCUGGUAUUCCGGGGGGCAUGCCUGUCCGAGCGUCAUUGCUGCCCUCAAGCACGGCUUGUGUGUUGGGCCCCGUCCUCCGAUCCCGGGGGACGGGCCCGAAAGGCAGCGGCGGCACCGCGUCCGGUCCUCGAGCGUAUGGGGCUUUGUCACCCGCUCUGUAGGCCCGGCCGGCGCUUGCCGAUCAACCCAAAUUUUUAUCCAGGUUGACCUCGGAUCAGGUAGGGAUACCCGCUGAACUUAAGCAUAUCAAUAAGCGGAGA